RNAcentral lists this transfer RNA (65 nucleotides) under Dipodomys ordii (Ord's kangaroo rat). It matches the Rfam family "tRNA". From Rfam's summary of the family: Transfer RNA (tRNA) molecules are approximately 80 nucleotides in length. Their secondary structure includes four short double-helical elements and three loops (D, anti-codon, and T loops). Lineage: Eukaryota; Metazoa; Chordata; Mammalia; Rodentia; Heteromyidae. The record is from Rfam by way of RNAcentral.
GGUGGCUCACUGGUAGAGUGCUUGCUUUGCAUGCAUGAGACCCUGGGUUCAAUUCCUCAGUACCA